RNAcentral lists this ribosomal RNA (254 nucleotides) under uncultured bacterium. Its description in RNAcentral is "partial 16S ribosomal RNA". It matches the Rfam family "Bacterial small subunit ribosomal RNA", at positions 524 to 776 of the family's 1533-position model. The record is from RNAcentral.
UACGUAGGGGGCAAGCGUUGUCCGGAUUUAUUGGGCGUAAAGAGCUCGUAGGUGGUUCGGUGAGUCGGAUGUGAAAUCUCCAGGCUCAACCUGGAGGGGUCAUUCGAUACUGCCGUGACUAGAGGUCGGUAGGGGAGUGUGGAAUUCCCGGUGUAGCGGUGAAAUGCGCAGAUAUCGGGAGGAACACCAAUUGCGAAGGCAGCUCGCUGGGACGUCACUGACGCUGAGACGCGAAAGCGUGGGGAGCGAACCGG